CGCCUCUUUCGAUUACAGAAUUAGUAAGAAGUUAAUAUAUAGUACGAAAUAGAUAGAUGUUAACAAAUUAAAUAACACCUAACUAUAAAAUAGAUAAAAUUUAAAUGAAAAGUUUCAGCUCAAGUAUGUAAAAUUGAGGAAUAAUCUCUACUAUUAUAUAGAAAUAUUAAGAUAUGUCAUUCUCCCAACACAAGAAAAGUUACUCCAUAAUGGAGUUAGUACUGACAACGAAAAUAUUCUUGCCCAUUAAAUAAGAAAAUAGAAAAAAAUAUUCAAGGAGAAUAAUUUUCACUAUUUAAUUAAAAAUGAGAACUAGAGUAAUUUCCUACACUAAAUAACUGAAAACGAAGAAGAAAGAAAAUGGCUUAAGAUGGAGAACACAUUCCCCAUGUUAUAUGCAAGGUCAAUAAAAUUCUCGAGAGAGUGAGUUUCUGAUCAUUUAUAUUUGCUCCCC
Molecule: long non-coding RNA, 454 nt
Filed under: Nicotiana tabacum (common tobacco)
Lineage: Eukaryota; Viridiplantae; Streptophyta; Magnoliopsida; Solanales; Solanaceae
Description: long non-coding RNA (NTAB_LNC013492)
Source: RNAcentral